AACGAACGCUGGCGGCAUGCCUAACACAUGCAAGUCGAACGAGACCUUCGGGUCUAGUGGCGCACGGGUGCGUAACGCGUGGGAACCUGCCCUUAGGUUCGGAAUAACUCCCCGAAAGGGGUGCUAAUACCGGAUAAUGUCUUCGGACCAAAGAUUUAUCGCCUUUGGAUGGGCCCGCGUUGGAUUAGCUAGUUGGUAGGGUAAAAGCCUACCAAGGCGACGAUCCAUAGCUGGUCUGAGAGGAUGAUCAGCCACACUGGGACUGAGACACGGCCCAGACUCCUACGGGAGGCAGCAGUGGGGAAUAUUGGACAAGGGGCGAAAGCCUGAUCCAGCAAUGCCGCGUGAGUGACGAAGGCCUUAGGGUUGUAAAGCUCUUUUACCCGGGAUGAUAAUGACAGUACCGGGAGAAUAAGCUCCGGCUAACUCCGUG
Molecule: ribosomal RNA, 433 nt
Filed under: uncultured bacterium
Lineage: Bacteria
Description: partial 16S ribosomal RNA
Rfam family: Bacterial small subunit ribosomal RNA
Source: RNAcentral